This is a long non-coding RNA of Oncorhynchus tshawytscha (Chinook salmon), 1304 nucleotides long. Lineage: Eukaryota; Metazoa; Chordata; Actinopteri; Salmoniformes; Salmonidae. The record is from Ensembl.
CGACGUUGAAUUGCAUUGAACGAUGAAAUACAAUUGUAUUCAACAACAUUGUGGAUUGAAGAGAGGCCGUGAGAGGAAACUUCCCUGAUUCAAGAGCUCAUUUCUGUCCGGAGAAGAAUUCAAUGCAAUUCAAUAAACGACUGUGCAACGGAGUGGGAGUCUGCGUCCGGGUUGAACAUGGCGGGAUGGUGACUGACGGUGCCAUGGAUGCCAGCAUGCAACAGCAGGGUGUCCCAAACAGCGGUGUCGGCAUCAACCACCCAGCUUCUAACAUGGUCUAUGCAGUCCAAGGCAGCCAAUGUUGUAAUCGGUGCCUGGCAGGGGAGCCCGGCCACAUUAACCACAUCAUGGGGUAUUGAUCGGUUAUCGUCAUGAUCAGAGAUCGUUUGAAGAACUGAAGGAUCCUUGAGGAUGAAGAGAAUGAUCGAUUGAUUGAGUGCUUGAUCAAGUCAUUGUGUAUGUGGCUGUGAACCGUUUUAUCAGUGUGCCUUGCCUUUUCUAGCUGUUAUUAACCACAAGCACUGUACUGCUUCAUGUAUAGCCUCGCAUGUUUACACUACCUAACACUGGGUAUGGGGGAAAUGGCUACUAACCAGACAGUAGACAUGGUGAUUUCAUACCGUCUUACUAACAUUCUGUUUGAAUGGAAAGAUAACCACUACAGUGUAGUCUACACACAACCAUAAGGAAGGAGCCAUCAAGCCACAAGUAAUACUGAAACUUUACACUGUAAUGUGGAUACUCCUUUAAUGUCAAUGGAUGUAUUAAAUGAAAUAAAAUACGUAUUGUCCCAGUAUCAAGACUGCUUUCUAAAGCUGCCAGAAAAUAUAAAUGUAAAUAGUAAUAUUGAUAAGUUAAAAACUUUUUAAAGUUAUAUAAUUGUUAACCUUUUUUUGAAAUGGAUAAUCCUGUCUGCAAAUAUAUUUUUCUGAAAUAAAUAUUUGAUAUAUUUUUCUAAAAUGUAAUUGGCUGAAUAUAAAAUAAGAAGUUUGUAACCAAUAUUUGUGCUAAUCGUUUCAUUUUGGAUAGUGUCCUGAAUUGUGUUUAAUCUCAUGAACGUUUUCAGCCAGUUUUCAAUAGUUUGAUCUACACUUGAAAUGUAGAGCCGUUUUGACAAGGAUUUGUCUGUUUCCCACUAGAUGUGGUUUUGUGUCGUCUUAGAAUGAUUUGAAGCCAGUUUCCACCUUGCCAAGCAGUGAGUUUUAUAGUUGAUGCUGUUCAAUUUCAGGUUAUGACUCAAUGUAAUAGUUUUAUUUUUAGUACAAGGAAAAACAACUUUCAAUAAAGUAUGAUUUGAUGAACAA